AGUGAACGCUGGCGGUAGGCCUAACACAUGCAAGUCGAACGGCAGCACAGUAAGAGCUUGCUCUUACGGGUGGCGAGUGGCGGACGGGUGAGGAAUACAUCGGAAUCUACUUUUUCGUGGGGGAUAACGUAGGGAAACUUACGCUAAUACCGCAUACGACCUACGGGUGAAAGCAGGGGAUCUUCGGACCUUGCGCGAUUGAAUGAGCCGAUGUCGGAUUAGCUAGUUGGCGGGGUAAAGGCCCACCGAGGCGACGAUCCGUAGCUGGUCUGAGAGGAUGAUCAGCCACACUGGAACUGAGACACGGUCCAGACUCCUACGGGAGGCAGCAGUGGGGAAUAUUGGACAAUGGGCGCAAGCCUGAUCCAGCCAUACCGCGUGGGUGAAGAAGGCCUUCGGGUUGUAAAGCCCUUUUGUUGGGAAAGAAAAGCAGCAGGUUAAUACCCCGCUGCUCUGACGGUACCCAAAGAAUAAGCACCGGCUAACUUCGUG
This 492-nucleotide ribosomal RNA is filed under the name uncultured bacterium. RNAcentral describes it as "partial 16S ribosomal RNA". It matches the Rfam family "Bacterial small subunit ribosomal RNA", at positions 29 to 507 of the family's 1533-position model. The record is from RNAcentral.